AGGGUUUGAUUAUGGCUCAGGAUGAACGCUAGCUACAGGCUUAACACAUGCAAGUCGAGGGGCAGCAUCAUCAAAGCUUGCUUUGAUGGAUGGCGACCGGCGCACGGGUGAGUAACACGUAUCCAACCUGCCGACAACACUGGGAUAGCCUUUCGAAAGAAAGAUUAAUACCGGAUGGCAUAAUUAUUCCGCAUGGGAUAAUUAUUAAAGAAUUUCGGUUGUCGAUGGGGAUGCGUUCCAUUAGGCAGUUGGCGGGGUAACGGCCCACCAAACCUACGAUGGAUAGGGGUUCUGAGAGGAAGGUCCCCCACAUUGGAACUGAGACACGGUCCAA
RNAcentral lists this ribosomal RNA (334 nucleotides) under uncultured bacterium. Its description in RNAcentral is "bacterial SSU rRNA". It matches the Rfam family "Bacterial small subunit ribosomal RNA", at positions 8 to 334 of the family's 1533-position model. The record is from RNAcentral.